This 1034-nucleotide long non-coding RNA is filed under the name Taeniopygia guttata (zebra finch). RNAcentral's name for it is "lncRNA (ENSTGUG00000022619.1)". The record is from RNAcentral. Lineage: Eukaryota; Metazoa; Chordata; Aves; Passeriformes; Estrildidae.
CGCCGGGCCGCCCUCGCAGAGCCCCAGUGCCGGGCGGGGAAAGCCGCGGGGCUGGCGGCCCCCCGAGCGGCCGCCCGGGCUCCCUGGGGAAGCCGCGGUUCCCGCGGCUCUGGGGGAAUCAGCGGGGAGACACCUCGUGUAUUCUGCUCCGUGGGUUGACGCCUUCAGUUCGGUGCCGCUUUGCUCACCUGCAGGGGGGAGGUGGGAUGGAGUAAAGUCAUCCCUGUGGGUCCGCCCGUGGGGAAGGGAAAGGCUCCUCUGGGGGCAGAAAAAGGGUGUAGUUGCUUUCCUUUGGAGAGAGAAGAAUCAAAGCGCUGUAUUGCCCACUUGUGUUGAGCUGUGGCUUCGGUGUUGAGUUUGGAGCGUCAGGAUUAAUUUCGUAGCAUGUUUCUAGUGGUAAUAUAUAUAUAUUAAAGGAUGAGGCAAGACUUUUUAGACUUGAAACAUAGGGUACAAAUGCAUUGUGCAGCAUUUUCUUUAACGUUACUGUCUACUUUAUCUUGGAUGCCCCCUCUUUACUUGGGUUGCGUCUGUCACUUCAGUCUGGGUAUGGAGUUCAUGUCCAUCUGCAGGUGUAAGUGCUCUGCCUCUGGGAGCAGCAGAGAGUGAGGACAGCUGGUAUGUGCUUAUUUAAUUGUCAGCUUUUAUCCCCAGUGCCAACUGGAUACUGCUAUCCCAAGUGAAUUGGGAUAGUGGAUAAAUAUUUCCCCUCCUACAGGGAAGGCCUGUCUGCUAAGACCAGUUUCUGGAGUCUUGAUGCUGACAAAAUACAGCUCAGUAGUAGGACUGAACCAGCCUCGUGCUGUGUCUAAAUUCAUCAUUACAGGUGCAGUAGUUCCUGACUGCAUGUCACAGUCUCCUGCUGAUCUGUGCUUGGUCUGGCUGCACAUUGAAGUUUCCUCUUGGAAAUUAGUUGCAUUAAGCUGGGAUUUUUUGAUGGAAGGGAGUGAAGAACCUCAUUGAUGUUUAUUCCCCUCUUGUGUAGCUAAGCAUUCUUCUGGCCUUUUUUCUAAGGUAAAUUUACUCCAUGAAGG